GCCCCGGUGGCCCAGUGGUAGGGCGGCAGCCUCGUAAGCUGCAACGCGCGGGUUCGAAGCAAACGAUUGCGAAAAUCCCGUCCGGGGCU
This 89-nucleotide transfer RNA is filed under the name Thermoproteota archaeon. Its description in RNAcentral is "tRNA-Thr". It matches the Rfam family "tRNA". Rfam says of the family: Transfer RNA (tRNA) molecules are approximately 80 nucleotides in length. Their secondary structure includes four short double-helical elements and three loops (D, anti-codon, and T loops). Lineage: Archaea; Thermoproteati; Thermoproteota. RNAcentral also lists the same sequence under 1 other name. The record is from RNAcentral.